RNAcentral lists this ribosomal RNA (401 nucleotides) under uncultured bacterium. RNAcentral describes it as "partial 16S ribosomal RNA". It matches the Rfam family "Bacterial small subunit ribosomal RNA", at positions 30 to 524 of the family's 1533-position model. The record is from RNAcentral.
AUUGAACGCUGGCGGCAGGCCUAACACAUGCAAGUCGAGCGAGCGGCGGACGGGUGAGUAAUGUAUGGGGACUGCCCGAUAGAGGGGGAUAACUACUGGAAACGGUAGCUAAUACCGCAUACUAUCGGAUAACCCAUAUGGGAUUAGCUAGUAGGUGAGGUAAUGGCUCACCUAGGCGACGUUCCCUAGCUGGUCUGAGAGGAUGAUCAGCCACACUGGGACUGAGACACGGCCCAGACUCCUACGGAGGCAGCAGUGGGGAAUAUCGCACAAUGGGCUCAAGGCGUAUGCAGCCAGGCCGCGUGUAUGAAGAAGGCCGUAGGGUUGUAAAGUACUUUCAGUCGGGAGGCUUUACCGACAGAAGACGCCUCGGCUAACUCCGUGCCAGCAGCCGCGGUAAC